UGCGUGACAGCGGCAGUUUUCGGGCGGCGGUCGAAGCGAUCGGACGUGUGUGUGUCGUGCGUGCAUUUUGUUCGUUAAAUUGUUAAAUAAAUUGUUAAACGCGAAUUAAUCGAAGUGAUGCUGUGCUGUGCUGUGCUGUGAAGUGAAAUUUUGGAGAAAAUCGCACAACACGGGACCGUUUAACCGCAAAAAUUUUUAUCACAUGUUUUGAAGCAAGGGUCGUACUGUUGCUCACCCAACACGAAUAAACAGUCGUCAAAUGUGCUAACCAUUGCAAUUUCCGCUUGGAGUUACGAAUUUUGAAAGCUCAAAAGCUGGUGUCUGUGUUGGAUUGCUUUAUGGACUGGUUGCGGCCGGCCUGCGGGAUCCGGAGGACUUCAAAGACGUUCUUCGUCUGGAUCUUCAAAAAUUAUUUUUUUUUAACUGGCAAUAAUUAUUAUUGAACAUUGUUAUAUAUUUGUGUGAUUGUUUAUGUUUUAUGAAUAAACGCUAGAGAAAUG
This is a long non-coding RNA of Tribolium castaneum (red flour beetle), 500 nucleotides long. RefSeq lists it as uncharacterized. The transcript is spliced from 4 exons. NCBI's taxonomy places the organism in Eukaryota, Metazoa, Arthropoda, Insecta, Coleoptera, Tenebrionidae. The record is from RefSeq and is a predicted model, not a curated record.